This 1615-nucleotide ribosomal RNA is filed under the name Salmonella enterica subsp. enterica serovar Typhimurium. RNAcentral describes it as "partial 23S ribosomal RNA". It matches the Rfam family "Bacterial large subunit ribosomal RNA", at positions 1271 to 2864 of the family's 2925-position model. The record is from RNAcentral. Lineage: Bacteria; Pseudomonadati; Pseudomonadota; Gammaproteobacteria; Enterobacterales; Enterobacteriaceae.
UGCUGGAGGUAUCAGAAGUGCGAAUGCUGACAUAAGUAACGAUAAAGCGGGUGAAAAGCCCGCUCGCCGGAAGACCAAGGGUUCCUGUCCAACGUUAAUCGGGGCAGGGUGAGUCGACCCCUAAGGCGAGGCCGAAAGGCGUAGUCGAUGGGAAACGGGUUAAUAUUCCCGUACUUGGUGUUACUGCGAAGGGGGGACGGAGAAGGCUAUGUUGGCCGGGCGACGGUUGUCCCGGUUUAAGCGUGUAGGUGUGUGUUCCAGGUAAAUCCGGUUCACUUUAACACUGAGGCGUGACGACGAGGCACUACGGUGCUGAAGCAACAAAUGCCCUGCUUCCAGGAAAAGCCUCUAAGCAUCAGGUAACAUCAAAUCGUACCCCAAACCGACACAGGUGGUCAGGUAGAGAAUACCAAGGCGCUUGAGAGAACUCGGGUGAAGGAACUAGGCAAAAUGGUGCCGUAACUUCGGGAGAAGGCACGCUGACACGUAGGUGAAGUGAUUUACUCAUGGAGCUGAAGUCAGUCGAAGAUACCAGCUGGCUGCAACUGUUUAUUAAAAACACAGCACUGUGCAAACACGAAAGUGGACGUAUACGGUGUGACGCCUGCCCGGUGCCGGAAGGUUAAUUGAUGGGGUCAGCGCAAGCGAAGCUCCUGAUCGAAGCCCCGGUAAACGGCGGCCGUAACUAUAACGGUCCUAAGGUAGCGAAAUUCCUUGUCGGGUAAGUUCCGACCUGCACGAAUGGCGUAAUGAUGGCCAGGCUGUCUCCACCCGAGACUCAGUGAAAUUGAACUCGCUGUGAAGAUGCAGUGUACCCGCGGCAAGACGGAAAGACCCCGUGAACCUUUACUAUAGCUUGACACUGAACAUUGAGCCUUGAUGUGUAGGAUAGGUGGGAGGCUUUGAAGUGUGGACGCCAGUCUGCAUGGAGCCGACCUUGAAAUACCACCCUUUAAUGUUUGAUGUUCUAACGUGGACCCGUAAUCCGGGUUGCGGACAGUGUCUGGUGGGUAGUUUGACUGGGGCGGUCUCCUCCUAAAGAGUAACGGAGGAGCACGAAGGUUGGCUAAUCCUGGUCGGACAUCAGGAGGUUAGUGCAAUGGCAUAAGCCAGCUUGACUGCGAGCGUGACGGCGCGAGCAGGUGCGAAAGCAGGUCAUAGUGAUCCGGUGGUUCUGAAUGGAAGGGCCAUCGCUCAACGGAUAAAAGGUACUCCGGGGAUAACAGGCUGAUACCGCCCAAGAGUUCAUAUCGACGGCGGUGUUUGGCACCUCGAUGUCGGCUCAUCACAUCCUGGGGCUGAAGUAGGUCCCAAGGGUAUGGCUGUUCGCCAUUUAAAGUGGUACGCGAGCUGGGUUUAGAACGUCGUGAGACAGUUCGGUCCCUAUCUGCCGUGGGCGCUGGAGAACUGAGGGGGGCUGCUCCUAGUACGAGAGGACCGGAGUGGACGCAUCACUGGUGUUCGGGUUGUCAUGCCAAUGGCACUGCCCGGUAGCUAAAUGCGGAAGAGAUAAGUGCUGAAAGCAUCUAAGCACGAAACUUGCCCCGAGAUGAGUUCUCCCUGAGACUUAGAGUCUCCUGAAGGAACGUUGAAGACGACGACGUUGAUAGGCCGG